CCUACGGGUGGCAGCAGUGGGGAAUAUUGCACAAUGGGGUAACCCCUGAUGCCGCGACGCCGCGUGGGUGAAGAAGUAUUUCGGUAUGUAAAGCUCUAUCAGCAGGGAAGAAAAUGACGGUCCCUGACUAAGCAGCCCCGGCUAACUACGUGCCAGCCGCCGCGGUAAUACGUAGGGGGCAGGCGUUAUCCGGAUUUACUGGGUGUAAAGGGAGCGUAGACGGCGGAACAAGUCAGAAGUGAAAACCCGGGGCUCAACCCUGGGAGUGCUUUUGAAACUGUUUGGCUGGAGUGCAGGAGAGGUAAGCGGAAUUCCUAGUGUAGCGGUGAAAUGCGUAGAUAUUAGGAGGAACACCAGUGGCGAAGGCGGCUUACUGGACUGUAACUGACGUUGAGGCUCGAAAGCGUGGGGAGCAAACAGGAGUAGAUACCCGGGUAGUC
RNAcentral lists this ribosomal RNA (440 nucleotides) under uncultured bacterium. Its description in RNAcentral is "partial 16S ribosomal RNA". It matches the Rfam family "Bacterial small subunit ribosomal RNA", at positions 338 to 795 of the family's 1533-position model. The record is from RNAcentral.